AUAUCUCUCUGUACGGGAAGGAUGAGAAGCUUCGACUAAGGUUCGAUUCGAGCGAAAGCGAGAAAGCGUUGCCGCAGGCAACGACCCGAAGGG
RNAcentral lists this small RNA (93 nucleotides) under Salmonella enterica subsp. enterica serovar Oranienburg. Its description in RNAcentral is "partial RtT sRNA". It matches the Rfam family "RtT RNA", at positions 1 to 91 of the family's 130-position model. From Rfam's summary of the family: This family represents a bacterial cis-regulatory element known as RtT RNA. The exact function of RtT is unknown although it is thought that it may be involved in changing the cellular response in relation to amino acid starvation. The record is from RNAcentral. Lineage: Bacteria; Pseudomonadati; Pseudomonadota; Gammaproteobacteria; Enterobacterales; Enterobacteriaceae. RNAcentral also lists the same sequence under 1 other name.